This 253-nucleotide ribosomal RNA is filed under the name uncultured bacterium. Its description in RNAcentral is "partial 16S ribosomal RNA". It matches the Rfam family "Bacterial small subunit ribosomal RNA", at positions 524 to 776 of the family's 1533-position model. The record is from RNAcentral.
UACGUAGGUGGCAAGCGUUGUUCGGAAUUAUUGGGCGUAAAGGGCGCGUAGGCGGCCUGUUAAGUCGAACGUGAAAUCCCCGGGCUCAACCCGGGAACUGCGUCCGAUACUGGCAGGCUUGAAUCCGGGAGAGGGAUGCGGAAUUCCAGGCGUAGCGGUGAAAUGCGUAGAUAUCUGGAGGAACACCGGUGGCGAAGGCGGCAUCCUGGACCGGCAUUGACGCUGAGGCGCGAAAGCGUGGGGAGCGAACAGG